Molecule: ribosomal RNA, 253 nt
Filed under: uncultured bacterium
Lineage: Bacteria
Description: partial 16S ribosomal RNA
Rfam family: Bacterial small subunit ribosomal RNA
Source: RNAcentral
UACGUAGGGGGCAAGCGUUGUCCGGAAUUAUUGGGCGUAAAGAGCGCGCAGGCGGUCGUUCAAGUCGCGUGUGAAAGCCCCCGGCUCAACUGGGGAGGGUCACGCGAUACUGAUCGACUGGAAGGCAGGAGAGGGUAGUGGAAUUCCCGGUGUAGUGGUGAAAUGCGUAGAGAUCGGGGGGAACACCCGUGGCGAAGGCGGCCAGCUGGGCCGGUCCUGACGCUGAGGCGCGAAGGCGUGGGGAGCGAACGGG